This 1148-nucleotide long non-coding RNA is filed under the name Salmo salar (Atlantic salmon). Its description in RNAcentral is "lncRNA (ENSSSAG00000103727.1)". Lineage: Eukaryota; Metazoa; Chordata; Actinopteri; Salmoniformes; Salmonidae. The record is from RNAcentral.
UGUAGAGAGGGCCUCUCGGAUGCCUGUGUAGAAUCCUAAUUAAAUUACCUCAUUAGGCGAGGCUCGGCGUUAACACCUACUGUUGCCUUAACUGUCCCCUUUCAUCUCCACCUUUUCCAGGCGUUUGCGUCGCUCUGAUCUCGGGUCUGUGAUUGCACCUUUUUGUGUCUUGAAUUUCCAUGUAAAUUCUCCUCUGAUGAGCGCUUUCCCGCUGACUGCCUCCCGCUCCGGGGGAAGAAGUAAAUACUAAUCCUGUGGGAAAUGCUCCGGUGGGAAGCUGGGACGGCAUGACAUCACUCACUAUAGAUGUUAUACCCUGCGUUCCUCUUCAGCAGUGCAGUAAAUGACUAAAAUGCACAGGUCUUAAUAUCGCUAGCCCCGCUGCUUCCUUCCAAGCCACCCAAGGGAAAUGUUUGUGUUUUCUGAACAGUUCCCUUAGCGUGGCUGCAGUUCCACCCCCAUCCUCCAGAGGGCAGACUUGUAUCACCUAAGGCUUGCCAGUCCCUGUACUGUAGCUGGGAAGUUUGGGUUUGACAAGCAACUGCAGUGAAGAAACACUGAAGGCAAAGUGCUGGUACAACUCCCCACAGAGAGGAGAGUGUUUUGUGAUGCGGGUGGUGAAAGACUAGGGAAAUCUAGUCUGGCAGCGCUGCUGUAGGCCCAAAAAUCUGGCCUUUUACUCAUUUUGUCAUUGUUGCAUAACCCACAACACUGAUUAAUUUUAUGAACAAUGUUUUCAAUUAGGUCCCCAUCCGUUUGAGUUGUUCACGAUAUCUCUUCCCACUAGCAAGUAUUUCUGCUUAGGUUUUUUUGUGCAUAUUGCCCAAACACAGCCUCACAAGACAAUGACACACAAAAUGAUUGACAGGCCUAUCUUCAGACAUCUGCAGGCCUUAUUUUCAGACAGAUACACCCUUCAAAAGAUCCUCUAUUGAGUUCACCAUUUGAGCAGGAAAGGGAGUGAGAGAGGAGAGUGAGUCGGCAGUUUUGCAGCGUGCCCUCUCACACUAGCCUUGUUGUUCCAGCCGGUCCAGGCUGUCAGUGGGCCUGUCUGACCUCUGACCUCCUGUACCUCAGCAUGAGGAAGUGGUUAGGCAGCCCAAUAACAAGGUCUGGUGGAGAGACUGAAACCAGAGCUGAAGUACUUG